CUUCAGUGGACUUAUUGUCCAUUGUUUUGUAGUACAUUUUCUCCAGUGCAGUUUUGUUUUCCAUCAAAAAGAAAAAAAAUAUAUGUCCCAUCUUUGGUGUAUGGUUAUGGCAAUUGUAUAUCAGCCUUCUUUGACUAUAAUUUUCAACUCAAAUCACAAACAAAUUCCUCCUCAUUUUGAAAAGUUGCUGUGCCCAUCUUCGUUUCUCCUGUUGACGUUAGCUCCACUACUGUCAUUCCCCUCUAACCGUAGGCUCAGAGAGGCAGAGUGUUACACAAGAGUACGUGAGGUUUUUUUAACUCUCUGAUACAUAAAGAAUCUGCCUCAUUACCUUUCCAUUUCCUUUUGACGUUCAAAGGGUGCCCAAAGAUCCAUUUUCAUUUUAGCAUUUUGUUUUAACAUUCCUUUUAUUUUCCCUUAUUUAUCUUGAAUUACUUUUUACCAAUGCCUCAAGUCCAUCUUAUUACUGGUAAUGAAUGCUCCUGCAAUUUUGGGUUGUUCUUGUACAUCUUAUGUACUUAUAAACUGUUUUUUCUAGUUCUGUUAUUAUUGCUUUCUUUUUCUCGUUUUUAUAAUUAACUCACCGUAAUGCAUAUAGCAUGCUUACAACCCAAAUGAGGAGUAUGCAGAUGUGGAAUCCACAUUGCGUUCGCAUUUGGAAUCUUUUCUAGAAACUACAAGAUCAUUCAAUAUGAUUUACACCAAGGAAAUACGUCCCUGGACACACAUGAUGGAGGUACCCCAGCUCCAUGGGUUCGGGCCUGCAGCCAAUCGCUUAUUGGAGGCAUAUAAGAUGCUUUUGAAGAAACCUGUCGAGGAUAAUGUUGAGAAGAAGAAGAAAAGGAAAGAGAUAGGGGAGGAGAGGUAGCAGCCAAUACAUCCAAGCAGAUACUGAUCAAGUGCGAAAUGAGUGGGAGAAGUUUGUUGUCAACACAUAUGUGCAUGAGCCGUGAAGUAGCGCGCUUGUUGCUGGUCCAUUUUUGCUAAGGAAAGCAUCUUUCUUUGUGCUUCUCUGCUGGUACAUUGUCAUGCACCAUGUGUUGCAUGUUUUGGAACAAUGGAUAUAUAUGUAUCAACUUUUUGAUGUCCCAAGUAGAUGGGCAUGCACUAGAAUGUUUUUCUUGUGUAAAAUGUUGGUUUCAAUGAUUGGGAAAUGUAU
Molecule: long non-coding RNA, 1159 nt
Organism: Rosa rugosa (rugosa rose)
Lineage: Eukaryota; Viridiplantae; Streptophyta; Magnoliopsida; Rosales; Rosaceae
Exons: 3
Source: RefSeq, a predicted model, not a curated record